RNAcentral lists this ribosomal RNA (254 nucleotides) under uncultured bacterium. RNAcentral's name for it is "partial 16S ribosomal RNA". It matches the Rfam family "Bacterial small subunit ribosomal RNA", at positions 524 to 776 of the family's 1533-position model. The record is from RNAcentral.
UACGGGGGGAGCAAGCGUUGUUCGGAUUUACUGGGCGUAAAGGGCGCGUAGGCGGUCAGCACAAGUCAGUUGUGAAAUCUCCGGGCUUAACUCGGAAAGGUCAACUGAUACUGUGCGACUAGAGUGCAGAAGGGGCAACUGGAAUUCUCGGUGUAGCGGUGAAAUGCGUAGAUAUCAAGAGGAACACCUGAGGUGAAGACGGGUUGCUAGGCUGACACUGACGCUGAGGCGCGAAAGCCAGGGGAGCAAACGGG